GAUGAACGCUGGCGGUAUGCUUAACACAUGCAAGUCGAACGGUGUCUUCGGACAUAGUGGCGGACGGGUGAGGAACGCGUGGUAAUCUAACGAUUGGUGCUGUGCAACGACUGGAAACGUUGGCUAAUACCGGUUAAGCUGAAAAGGGAAAGACUAAUUGCCAAUUUAAGACCUCGCGUCUGAUUAUGUGGUUGGUGGGGUACGAGCCUACCAAGGCUUCGAUCCGUAGCUGGUCUGAGAGGACGCGCCGCCAGACUGGGACUGCGACACGGCCCCGACUCGUACGGGACGCAGCGGUGGGGAAUAUUCUGCAAUGGGGCAUAGCGUGGCGGAGCAAUACCGCGUGAGAGGGGCAGGCUCUUGGGUUGUAAACCUCUUUUCUUUGGGAAGAUAAUGACGGUACCUGAGGAAUAAGCACCGGCUAACUACGUG
RNAcentral lists this ribosomal RNA (432 nucleotides) under uncultured bacterium. RNAcentral's name for it is "partial 16S ribosomal RNA". It matches the Rfam family "Bacterial small subunit ribosomal RNA", at positions 28 to 507 of the family's 1533-position model. The record is from RNAcentral.